Molecule: long non-coding RNA, 521 nt
Organism: Ornithorhynchus anatinus (platypus)
Lineage: Eukaryota; Metazoa; Chordata; Mammalia; Monotremata; Ornithorhynchidae
Exons: 4
Source: RefSeq, a predicted model, not a curated record
UCAGAGCCCUACGGACUGAAAAUCGGUCGGAAGAAAACCUAAAUUAAGUGCCAGCCUACUCCCAGUAUAUCCCAAACAAACAACCGAAGGUAUUCACACAGGAGAGGUUUUCAUCGUUUGCGAACACUCGUAAGAGAUUAAUCUGUGGAGAAGCCCAGGGGUAACAGGUGGCUGACCCAAGACGGAAGUGGCCAGCUUGGCUAGACCUCCCUGACUCCACAACCUACAAGCCCAGCAAGUCCCAGAGGGCCUGAGUGCCCCAGGGCAGAAGUCUGUGCUUCCCGGAACUCUUCUGGGAAAAAUGCAGGCAAAGAGCCAACAUCACUCAUUUCCUUCAAAAGAGAGGCCCGUGCUUCUCUAUCCACUAUGCCGCGAUGCUGCUGGGCAUCCUCGUCCCUUCGUUUUAGCCAUGGGAGUGUCGCUCGGUGGUCCAAAGGGGUCCUCAGCAAGAAAAUCAGGGGAGACGCAGCCCUGCAUCAACUGCUCGCCGUAGCAGCUUGACCGCUAAAUCCCAUCCUGCC